GACAGAGGGUGCAAACGUUGUUCGGAAUUACUGGGCGUAAAGCGCGCGUAGGCGGACCUGCAAGUCGGGGGUGAAAGCCCGAGGCUCAACCUCGGAACUGCCUUCGAUACUGCGGGUCUCGAGUCCGGGAGAGGUGAGUGGAAUUCCUAGUGUAGAGGUGAAAUUCGUAGAUAUUAGGAAGAACACCAGUGGCGAAGGCGGCUCACUGGCCCGGUACUGACGCUGAGGUGCGAAAGCGUGGGGAGCAAACAGG
RNAcentral lists this ribosomal RNA (253 nucleotides) under uncultured bacterium. RNAcentral describes it as "partial 16S ribosomal RNA". It matches the Rfam family "Bacterial small subunit ribosomal RNA", at positions 524 to 776 of the family's 1533-position model. The record is from RNAcentral.